GAAAUUCAGGCUGCAUUGGCUGAUAAUCGCUAAUGGGUUGUUGAGCCAGGUAUUCCGCUAGGGCACUACCCUUGACGAAUUUCUGAGUUACAUAUACAAUGUCAUAUUCUGAUAAUAGCAUCUGCCACCGAGCUAUCCUUCCAAUGAGAGCGGGUUUCUCAAAAAUAUACUUGAUAGGGUCCAUCUUUGAUAUUAACCAGGUAGAGUGACUCAGCAUGUAUUGCCUUAAAUGAUGAGCAGCCCACGC
This 247-nucleotide long non-coding RNA is filed under the name Vigna radiata. RNAcentral's name for it is "long non-coding RNA (VRAD_LNC004771)". The record is from RNAcentral. Lineage: Eukaryota; Viridiplantae; Streptophyta; Magnoliopsida; Fabales; Fabaceae.